This 73-nucleotide transfer RNA is filed under the name Mustela putorius furo (domestic ferret). It matches the Rfam family "tRNA". Rfam says of the family: Transfer RNA (tRNA) molecules are approximately 80 nucleotides in length. Their secondary structure includes four short double-helical elements and three loops (D, anti-codon, and T loops). Further hydrogen bonds mediate the characteristic L-shaped molecular structure. tRNAs have two regions of fundamental functional importance: the anti-codon, which is responsible for specific mRNA codon recognition, and the 3' end, to which the tRNAs corresponding amino acid is attached (by aminoacyl-tRNA synthetases). tRNAs cope with the degeneracy of the genetic code in two manners: having more than one tRNA (with a specific anti-codon) for a particular amino acid; and 'wobble' base-pairing, i.e. permitting non-standard base-pairing at the 3rd anti-codon position. RNAcentral also lists the same sequence under 1 other name. Lineage: Eukaryota; Metazoa; Chordata; Mammalia; Carnivora; Mustelidae. The record is from Rfam by way of RNAcentral.
GCCUGGCUGGCUCUGUCUGUAGAGCACGUGACUCUUGAUCUGGAGAUUGUGAGUUCGAGUCCCAUGUUAGGUG